GGGCUUGUGGUUUAGUGGUAUAAUACUCCCUUAGCAUCAGCAGCUUGUCUGCGAGUAAUUUGGGAGUGGUCCGGGGUUCGAUUCCCCGCGAGUCCA
Molecule: non-coding RNA, 96 nt
Organism: Xylariaceae sp. AK1471
Lineage: Eukaryota; Fungi; Ascomycota; Sordariomycetes; Xylariales; Xylariaceae
Source: the annotation of a GenBank genome assembly